Molecule: ribosomal RNA, 468 nt
Filed under: uncultured bacterium
Lineage: Bacteria
Description: partial 16S ribosomal RNA
Rfam family: Bacterial small subunit ribosomal RNA
Source: RNAcentral
GACGAACGCUGGCGGCGUGCUUAACACAUGCAAGUCGAACGGAAAGGCCCUGCUUUUGUGGGGUGCUCGAGUGGCGAACGGGUGAGUAACACGUGAGUAACCUGCCCUUGUCUUUGUGAUAACUUCAGGAAACUGGGGCUAAUACCGGAUAGGAGCUCCUGCUGCAUGGUGGGGGUUGGUAAGUUUCGGCGGUUGGGGAUGGACUCGCGGCUUAUCAGCUUGUUGGUGGGGUAGUGGCUUACCAAGGUUUUGACGGGUAGCCGGCCUGAGAGGGUAACCGGCCACAUGGGGACUGAGAUACGGCCCAGACUCCUACGGGAGGCAACAGUGGGGAAUAUUGCACAAUGGGCGGAAGCCUGAUGCAGCAACGCCGCGUGCGGGAUGACGGCCUUCGGGUUGUAAACCGCUUUCGCCUGUGACGAAGCGUGAGUGACGGUAAUGGGUAAAGAAGCACCGGCUAACUACGUG